This is a long non-coding RNA of Clarias gariepinus (North African catfish), 2352 nucleotides long. RefSeq lists it as uncharacterized. Lineage: Eukaryota; Metazoa; Chordata; Actinopteri; Siluriformes; Clariidae. The transcript has 3 exons. The record is from RefSeq and is a predicted model, not a curated record.
AAGGUUUGUGCAAGUGAGGAAAAUGUCAGUUAAACAGUUUGAGGUGUGGACUUGAAAAGAUAAAGCACAUUUUGUUUUAGCAAAGGUGACAUUUGUGCAAACUUGUUUGCAGGAUUUAAACAUGGAGAGGGGCAUUGGUGGUAGUUAACCACUCAUUGAUAGGUUUCUCGCCUGCCAAGCAGAAGGGCCGGGUUCGAUUCACAGCCAAUGCCCAAAUCCCAGCCACUGGAUGCAGUGCUGGUCCCAAGCCCGGAUAAAACAGGUCAACUAUUUCCUUAACCAUACACCUGUGGGGAGCAGAGGGUAACCUGUCUGGUCUGAUGCCACAGAAAAGCUAAUGUAGCAAAACCUGCUGACAAAAACUUGAUGCUGGCCUUGAUGUUGAUAGAAAGGUACUACAACACACAGUGAACUAUAGACACAGUGCCACAUGGGCCCAGCAGGAGGCCAAGGCCAAGAACCCAGCCUCCCCCACAUCCCAAUCCUACAGUAUGGAAUGCGCCGGACAUGCAAGAACAAUUGAUGGAGGCCCCAUCUCAACCCACAAUACGCAAAGCAUCUGAUGGCAACUUCCUGGUACCAGACACCACAGCACACCACCAAAGAUCUUGUGGAGUCAUACACUGAGGGACUUGAGCUGCCCAGUUGGCAUAAGAGGAAUGUAAACGAUAUACAGCAUAAUGUUUUGUGUUGUAAAGUUGUGGCUGAUCAGUGUAUGGCCCACCUGCAAUACUUUCCCAGACCACACUUCGGGAAACACAUGUUUAAACAAUAGCAGUUUUGUCAAUUGCUCACAAACAAAGUAUCAAUUGGAGAUCUCACUUAUACACUAAAAUGAAACUCUAAAUGCAAACUAAACCUGACAAAAACUUUUAGCAUAAUAUUAUUUUUGCAACUAAAUGAUACAUGCACAAUUUGAAUUACUGUUUCAAAGCAGCAAUAAAUCAUUGAUGCACUAUAUACAAAAAAAUUACUUGGUACUCCAUUUUCUCAUAAAGGAUUCUGUAAAAGAUUGCUUUAGUACAGUACUUCGGCCUGAGACGGACAGUAACGGAGUACAUUUACUUGACUACAGUACUUAAGUACAAUUUUGAGGGAUCUGUACUUUACUUGAGUAUCAUUUCACUCAUGACUUUACUUAAGUACAUUUGAGAGGCAAAUAUUGUACUCUUUACUCCGCUACAUUUUCAUCCAUAAGCGUGAGCCAACCCAUGGCCCCACCCAUGGCCCCACCUCGCCAAACUAUUUCAAUUUUUUUUAACAAGUUAAUGAUAGUUUUCGCUACAAGUGUUUGCUGUGUUUACCAAAACAGAACUUCAUCACCGCCUACAAAAAUUCAUCCUCCAACUUGCGGAAGCAUGUCAUGGUACGUACAUUGAAAUAAACUUCCUUACAUUUCUAAGCUAGAUUUUAGCUACAGAAAAGUGCACUAAAUAAUUGGCUAGCUGCGAUAAUGCAGCUUUUUAUAUUCUCGGUUACGUUUGGGUAGUCAAAGCCACAUACACCAACUAAUUUGCCAGCUGUAGCUAGCCACUUAGAUGUACUCCAUGUAGAAUGUUUCUGUACAUAAAUGUAAGCACUGUGGCAGAAGUAAUGUAUUAUUUAGAAAGCUUACUCUUGUACUCUUGAUACUCAAGUACUUUUAAAAACAAGUACUUCAGUACUUUUACUUAAGUAGGCAUCUGACUGUGAUACUUUUACUUGUAAUUAAGUAAUAUUUAGCAAGGGGUAUCUGUACUUUUACUCAAUAAUGAACCUGUGUACUCUGUCCACCUCUGACUUUGGCUCACAUUUCAAUGGACACAAAAUCAUAAGGAUUCAGAAACAAAACAGCUUAUUUUUAUCACUGUAGGUUUUUACAAAAAAAAUUAAAAUAAAAUUGGCUUACAAUAAUCAAUACAAUGUUACUAUAAACUCACAAAGACAAAAAUACAUAAUGACAGCAAAGUUACAUUGCAAUGUAAGGUUUAAGACGUGACAGUACGAGACCAAAUUUAAAUGGCCCCUCAAAUUUACUGCAAAAAUCUCAAAGCAUUGCUGAAAUAUAGUUAAACAUCCUCUUUUGUAUAAUAGGGGAAAUUUAGAAAUAGUGGAUGGAAAAUUAGAAAAUUCCAGAAGACAGAUGACACUAGAACUAUGAUUUUAUUCAAUGUCAAAGGGACUGUUAAAAUCAGCACAAGGGGAGGACUAUUGGUAAUUAAUUCAUAUAUUUUUUCUAUUAAUAGGCAUUAAUUUUUUAUUAAUUAAUAAUUAACUAAUUACCUUUGGUGCUUGUCUUUUAUUUAUAUGUUGGUCCCAACUAUUUUCUGAAUAGGGCUAAAACAAUACAGUCGGCCUUGCUGUUCCAAUACU